Rana temporaria (common frog) is the source of this 579-nucleotide long non-coding RNA. RefSeq lists it as uncharacterized. NCBI's taxonomy places the organism in Eukaryota, Metazoa, Chordata, Amphibia, Anura, Ranidae. The record is from RefSeq and is a predicted model, not a curated record. The transcript is spliced from 4 exons.
CCCGUUGACAUCAGACGCUCGGGCGUGCGGGAGGGGUUAUAAGGAGCCAGCCCUGUCCAUCGCAUUGCUGCACCAGCCUGGAAGUCUUCAUGACCUGUGAAUCAUCACAGAUUAUGUGAACAGGCAUACUUUCCUCCCCUGUGCUUAAUAAGACGAGACUCCUUGGCUGCCUUUUGUGCAUUAAAACUUUGUUUUAUGCACUUGGUCCCUAAUUCCUCUCCUAUGGUCCAGCCUAUGCCCCUACGCAGCACGGAUACUUCAGUAAAGGGCGUCUCUAUUCCCUGUGGGGUGAGUGGUUCCCGGGGCCCCGGGACGUCUCAGGACUGGUGUCGUUUUUCCUCUUCAUCCGAGAUGUCAGAGCUGGUUACAUAAUUCUGGUCGCUUUUCAGUACCCCUGAAGAAGCCGACUAAGGCAAAAUAUAUUGGGUCAUACAACAUCUUAAACCGACCAGUAACUCUACAGUGGGAAAUUCCAGCAACCCAAAUAUCGGAAUUCUGACAUAUUGUUUUUAAUACGGUGUAUUAUGUAUUGUAUAAAAUUCUAUUUUUGAUAUUUUAAUAAAUUGUUACAAAAUUUAA